ACGCAUGAUUACGACGUGAAGAUGAAGAACGUGAACAAGUUCAUCGGCAACGGCGACAAGGUCAAGGUCACGCUGCGCUUCCGCGGGCGCGAAAUGGCGCACCAGCAUCUCGGCAUGGACCUGCUCAAACGCGUGCAGGAAGAUGUCGAGGAGAUCGCCAAGGUCGAAGCCUUCCCCCGGCUCGAGGGACGGCAGAUGCUGAUGGUGCUCGCGCCCAAGUAGGUGUCCUUGGCUGGCUCGGGCCGUGCCGGGAUGACCGCGCGCCCGGCGUGCCGA
This 276-nucleotide unclassified non-coding RNA is filed under the name Erythrobacter sp. HL-111. RNAcentral describes it as "Long range pseudoknot". Lineage: Bacteria; Pseudomonadati; Pseudomonadota; Alphaproteobacteria; Sphingomonadales; Erythrobacteraceae. The record is from RNAcentral.